ACGCUCGACACCUACGGGAGCAGCAGCGGGGAAUAUUGCACAAUGGGGGAAACCCUGAUGCAGCGACGCCGCGUGAGCGAAGAAGUAUUUCGGUAUGUAAAGCUCUAUCAGCAGGGAAGAAACUGACGGUACCUGACUAAGAAGCACCGGCUAAAUACGUGCCAGCAGCCGCGGUAAUCUGAGCGGGCUGGCAAGGC
This 197-nucleotide ribosomal RNA is filed under the name uncultured bacterium. Its description in RNAcentral is "partial 16S ribosomal RNA". It matches the Rfam family "Bacterial small subunit ribosomal RNA", at positions 328 to 539 of the family's 1533-position model. The record is from RNAcentral.